Molecule: ribosomal RNA, 450 nt
Filed under: uncultured soil bacterium
Lineage: Bacteria
Description: bacterial SSU rRNA
Rfam family: Bacterial small subunit ribosomal RNA
Source: RNAcentral
GAAUUCGAUUAACGCGAAGAACCUUACCUGGGCUUGACAUGACCCUGACAGCCGUGGAAACACGGUCUCCCUUCGGGGCAGGGCCACAGGUGGUGCAUGGCUGUCGUCAGCUCGUGUCGUGAGAUGUUGGGUUAAGUCCCGCAACGAGCGCAACCCCCGUCGCAUGUUGCCAGCAUUUAGUUGGGGACUCAUGCGAGACUGCCGGUGACAAACCGGAGGAAGGCGGGGAUGACGUCAAGUCAUCAUGCCCCUUAUGUCCAGGGCUACACACGUGCUACAUUGGCGCGUACAGAGGGCUGCGAUACCGCGAGGUGGAGCGAAUCCCUUAAAGCGCGUCUCGGUUCGGAUUGCAGGCUGAAACUCGCCUGCAUGAAGCCGGAAUCGCUAGUAAUCGUGGAUCAGCUACGCCACGGUGAAUACGUUCCCGGGCCUUGUCACACCGAAUCACUA